This 431-nucleotide ribosomal RNA is filed under the name uncultured bacterium. RNAcentral's name for it is "partial 16S ribosomal RNA". It matches the Rfam family "Bacterial small subunit ribosomal RNA", at positions 29 to 507 of the family's 1533-position model. The record is from RNAcentral.
AGCGAACGCUGGCGGCAGGCUUAACACAUGCAAGUCGAGCGCCCCGCAAGGGGAGCGGCAGACGGGUGAGUAACACGUGGGAACGUACCCUUUGGUUCGGAACAACCCAGGGAAACUUGGGCUAAUACCGGAUAAGUCCGCGAGGAGAAAGAUUUAUCGCCGAAGGAUCGGCCCGCGUCUGAUUAGCUAGUUGGUGUGGUAACGGCGCACCAAGGCGACGAUCAGUAGCUGGUCUGAGAGGAUGAUCAGCCACACUGGGACUGAGACACGGCCCAGACUCCUACGGGAGGCAGCAGUGGGGAAUAUUGGACAAUGGGGGCAACCCUGAUCCAGCCAUGCCGCGUGAGUGAUGAAGGCCCUAGGGUUGUAAAGCUCUUUCGGUGGGGAAGUUAAUGGCGGUACCCACAGAAGAAGCCCCGGCUAACUUCGUG